RNAcentral lists this ribosomal RNA (496 nucleotides) under uncultured bacterium. RNAcentral describes it as "partial 16S ribosomal RNA". It matches the Rfam family "Bacterial small subunit ribosomal RNA", at positions 28 to 506 of the family's 1533-position model. The record is from RNAcentral.
GAUGAACGCUGGCGGCGUGCCUAAUACAUGCAAGUCGAGCGAACAGACGAGGAGCUUGCUCCUCUGACGUUAGCGGCGGACGGGUGAGUAACACGUGGAUAACCUACCUAUAAGACUGGGAUAACUUCGGGAAACCGGAGCUAAUACCGGAUAAUAUAUUGAACCGCAUGGUUCAAUAGUGAAAGACGGUUUUGCUGUCACUUAUAGAUGGAUCCGCGCCGCAUUAGCUAGUUGGUAAGGUAACGGCUUACCAAGGCAACGAUGCGUAGCCGACCUGAGAGGGGGAUCGGCCAAACUGGAACUGAGAAACGGUCCAGAAUCCUACGGGAGGCAGCAGUAGGGAAUGUUCUGCAAUGGGCGAAAGACUGACGGAGGAACGCCGCGUGAGUGAUGAAGGUCUUCGGAUCGUAAAACGCUGUUAUUAGGGAAGAAAAAAUGUGUAAGUAACUAUGCACGUCUUGACGGUACCUAAUCAGAAAGCCACGGCUAACUACGU